This 950-nucleotide ribosomal RNA is filed under the name Methanimicrococcus sp. RNAcentral describes it as "bacterial SSU rRNA". It matches the Rfam family "Archaeal small subunit ribosomal RNA", at positions 127 to 1079 of the family's 1478-position model. Lineage: Archaea; Methanobacteriati; Methanobacteriota; Methanomicrobia; Methanosarcinales; Methanosarcinaceae. The record is from RNAcentral.
CUACCUCGGGAACUGAGGAUAAUUCCGGAUAUCUCUUCUUUGCUGGAAUCGCUUGAAGAGACAAAGAAUUUCGCCUGAGGAUGGGUCUGCGGCCUAUCAGGUUGUAGGGGGUGUAAUGUACCCUCUAGCCGACAACGGGUACGGGUUGUGAGAGCAAGAGCCCGGAGAUGGAUUCUGAGACAUGAAUCCAGGCCCUACGGGGCGCAGCAGGCGCGAAAACUUUACAAUGCAGGAAACUGUGAUAAGGAGACACCGAGUGCUCGCAUCAAAUGCGGGCUGUCCACAUACCUAAAUCGUAUGUGUUAGCAAGGGCCGGGCAAGACCGGUGCCAGCCGCCGCGGUAAUACCGGUGGCCCGAGUGGUAGCCGCUUUUAUUGGGUCUAAAGGGUCCGUAGCCGGUUCGGUCAGUCCAUUGGGAAAUCCGGAUGCUCAACAUCCGGGCUUCCAGUGGAUACUGCCGGACUUGGGAUCGGGGGAGGUAAGAGGUACUACAGGGGUAGGAGUGAAAUCUUGUAAUCCUUGUGGGACCACCUGUGGCGAAGGCGUCUUACCAAAACGAGUCCGACGGUGAGGGACGAAAGCUGGGGGCACGAACCGGAUUAGAUACCCGGGUAGUCCCAGCCGUAAACGAUGCUCGCUAGGUGUCAGGCAUGGCGUGACUGUGUCUGGUGCCGAAGGGAAGCCGUGAAGCGAGCCACCUGGGAAGUACGGCCGCAAGGCUGAAACUUAAAGGAAUUGGCGGGGGAGCACAACAACGGGUGGAGCCUGCGGUUUAAUUGGACUCAACGCCGGAAAACUCACCAGGGGAGACAGCAAUAUGUAGGUCAAGCUGAAGACUUUACCUGAAUCGCUGAGAGGAGGUGCAUGGUCGUCGCCAGUUCGUACUGUGAAGCAUCCUGUUAAGUCAGGCAACGAGCGAGACCCGUGCCCACAGUUACCAGCGGCAUCUC